Non-coding RNA from Paramuricea clavata, 539 nucleotides. The record is from the annotation of a GenBank genome assembly. NCBI's taxonomy places the organism in Eukaryota, Metazoa, Cnidaria, Anthozoa, Malacalcyonacea, Plexauridae.
UUAAGGCGGGCGCACACUAGAGCUAUGUGCUUAGCAAAAUGUCAUUCGUGACUGUUGGCGUAAGGAGAUAGCUCUCGUGUGCGGGCGAUUUGCGAACGACUUUUGUCAUUCGUGCCACUUACGCCAAAUAUCUAACAUGUUUGAUAAUUUCUGCCUCGCGUGCCAAAAUCUUUCCGUGUGCGGCGAACGAAAGCUAUCUGCUUACGGAUUGUCGUAACAGCGCAUGCGUAGUAUACGAAAGUAAACAUCCAAGAUGGCGGCGCAAAAUGAAUUGCUGGCCGAGGCAAUUUUAGAGGACAAAGUUACUGGCUAUUUCUUUCACCGCACAUUCCCUUUUGUCCCUAUUUCUAAAAUCUGCAGAACUCACAUCGUAUAAACAUUUAUAUUUAGGCCAAAGUUCGACAAGUUUGUCCUCUAAAAUUGCCUCGGCCAGCAAUUCAUUUUGCGCCGCCAUCUUGGAUGUUUACUUUCGUAUACUACGCACGCGCUGUUACGACAAUCCGUAAGCAGAUAGCUUUCGUUCGCCGCACACGGAAAGA